Molecule: ribosomal RNA, 728 nt
Filed under: Pseudomonas sp. 110623_PC_C1_A5
Lineage: Bacteria; Pseudomonadati; Pseudomonadota; Gammaproteobacteria; Pseudomonadales; Pseudomonadaceae
Description: bacterial SSU rRNA
Rfam family: Bacterial small subunit ribosomal RNA
Source: RNAcentral
UGGCUCAGAUUGAACGCUGGCGGCAGGCCUAACACAUGCAAGUCGAGCGGUAGAGAGAAGCUUGCUUCUCUUGAGAGCGGCGGACGGGUGAGUAAUGCCUAGGAAUCUGCCUGGUAGUGGGGGAUAACGUUCGGAAACGAACGCUAAUACCGCAUACGUCCUACGGGAGAAAGCAGGGGACCUUCGGGCCUUGCGCUAUCAGAUGAGCCUAGGUCGGAUUAGCUAGUUGGUGAGGUAAUGGCUCACCAAGGCGACGAUCCGUAACUGGUCUGAGAGGAUGAUCAGUCACACUGGAACUGAGACACGGUCCAGACUCCUACGGGAGGCAGCAGUGGGGAAUAUUGGACAAUGGGCGAAAGCCUGAUCCAGCCAUGCCGCGUGUGUGAAGAAGGUCUUCGGAUUGUAAAGCACUUUAAGUUGGGAGGAAGGGCAGUUACCUAAUACGUGAUUGUUUUGACGUUACCGACAGAAUAAGCACCGGCUAACUCUGUGCCAGCAGCCGCGGUAAUACAGAGGGUGCAAGCGUUAAUCGGAAUUACUGGGCGUAAAGCGCGCGUAGGUGGUUUGUUAAGUUGGAUGUGAAAUCCCCGGGCUCAACCUGGGAACUGCAUUCAAAACUGACUGACUAGAGUAUGGUAGAGGGUGGUGGAAUUUCCUGUGUAGCGGUGAAAUGCGUAGAUAUAGGAAGGAACACCAGUGGCGAAGGCGACCACCUGGACUAAUACUGA